This 205-nucleotide unclassified non-coding RNA is filed under the name Hevea brasiliensis (rubber tree). The record is from RNAcentral. Lineage: Eukaryota; Viridiplantae; Streptophyta; Magnoliopsida; Malpighiales; Euphorbiaceae.
UAGCGUGCACAACUAAAAUUUUCAUUGAAAAUAAUAUUGAAGCGAAUACAACGGCCCUAAGGAGAGGUCUCUGCAAUUGCAACUAAAACUGAGCCCCAACCCCUUUCCCUUGAAACCCUCCUUCAUUUCUUCCCAAUGACAAAAGGUUUCUUCCUUCUUAAGGUUGCCUACCAAGGCAAUUACGCUUCGAUGCCAAGUUUUGCUU